RNAcentral lists this transfer RNA (83 nucleotides) under bacterium. Its description in RNAcentral is "tRNA-Leu". It matches the Rfam family "tRNA". Rfam says of the family: Transfer RNA (tRNA) molecules are approximately 80 nucleotides in length. Their secondary structure includes four short double-helical elements and three loops (D, anti-codon, and T loops). The record is from RNAcentral.
GCCGCGGUGGUGUAACUUGGUAGCCACAAGAGACUUAAAAUCUCUCGCCGCAAGGCAUGCGGGUUCGAGUCCCGCCCGCGGCA